AGAGCGAACGCUGGCGGCAGGCUUAACACAUGCAAGUCGAGCGGGCGUAGCAAUACGUCAGCGGCAGACGGGUGAGUAACGCGUGGGAACAUACCUUUUGGUUCGGAACAACCCAGGGAAACUUGGGCUAAAUACCGGAUAAGCCCUUACGGGGAAAGAUUUAUCGCCGAAAGAUUGGCUCGCGUCUGAUUAGCUAGUUGGUGAGGUAACGGCUCACCAAGGCGACGAUCAGUAGCUGGUCUGAGAGGAUGAUCAGCCACAUUGGGACUGAGACACGGCCCAAACUCCUACGGGAGGCAGCAGUGGGGAAUAUUGGACAAUGGGCGCAAGCCUGAUCCAGCCAUGCCGCGUGAGUGAUGAAGGCCCUAGGGUUGUAAAGCUCUUUUGGUGCGGGAAGAUAAUGACGGUACCGCAAGAAUAAGCCCCGGCUAACUUCGCGCCAGCAGCCGC
This 450-nucleotide ribosomal RNA is filed under the name uncultured bacterium. RNAcentral's name for it is "SSU rRNA". It matches the Rfam family "Bacterial small subunit ribosomal RNA", at positions 26 to 518 of the family's 1533-position model. The record is from RNAcentral.